GGAUGAUAUAGCUCAAUAGGUAGAGCGACUGUAUGUGGCACAGUAGGUUCUCUGUUCGACCCAGAGUAUUUUCC
RNAcentral lists this transfer RNA (74 nucleotides) under Leptographium procerum. RNAcentral describes it as "tRNA-His". It matches the Rfam family "tRNA". From Rfam's summary of the family: Transfer RNA (tRNA) molecules are approximately 80 nucleotides in length. Lineage: Eukaryota; Fungi; Ascomycota; Sordariomycetes; Ophiostomatales; Ophiostomataceae. The record is from RNAcentral.